AGCAUGGGAUUGCUGCUGAGAGCUGCAUGUGUGCUUCUCUUCAGGAGGAGAGCUCUUACAACCAUGGCUCAGCACAAAUUCAUUGAUAUUGGUGUGAACCUGACAGAUCCCAUGUUCAGAGGACUCUACAGAGGGAAGCAGAAACAUGACGAUGACUUCAAUCAGAUCAUUGACAGAGCGGUCACAACCGGAGUCAAAAAGGUAA
Long non-coding RNA from Notothenia coriiceps (black rockcod), 205 nucleotides. RefSeq lists it as uncharacterized. The record is from RefSeq and is a predicted model, not a curated record. Lineage: Eukaryota; Metazoa; Chordata; Actinopteri; Perciformes; Nototheniidae. The transcript is spliced from 3 exons.